UACGUAGGGGGCAAGCGUUGUCCGGAAUUAUUGGGCGUAAAGAGCUCGUAGGCGGUCUGUUGCGUCUGCUGUGAAAACCCGGGGCUUAACCCCUGGCUUGCAGUGGAUACGGACAGACUAGAGGUAGGUAGGGGAGAAUGGAAUUCCCGGUGUAGCGGUGAAAUGCGCAGAUAUCGGGAGGAACACCGGUGGCGAAGGCGGUUCUCUGGGCCUUACCUGACGCUGAGGAGCGAAAGCGUGGGGAGCGAACAGG
This 253-nucleotide ribosomal RNA is filed under the name uncultured bacterium. RNAcentral describes it as "partial 16S ribosomal RNA". It matches the Rfam family "Bacterial small subunit ribosomal RNA", at positions 524 to 776 of the family's 1533-position model. The record is from RNAcentral.